GGUCAGAAGUAGUGCACAAUAUAGGGAAUAGGGUGCCAAUUGGCAUACAUCCACUGCCAGCAGGCUGAGGUGGGGCCAUUGUUGAUGACACAUCAUUUGUCCUAUUGGAAUGGAAUAUGGGCAUUCUGAGGAUGACAACUACACACACACACAUUGUUUUCAGUCUCUUAUCUAUCAUAUAACAUGCAUACUCAGUGUUCUUUCUGUUAUCUGUCAAACGCUGAACGUCCGAUCAACAUGACUAUAUACAGUACUAACUGGGCCGUAACUCAUUUAGUUGUAAAAAUAAAACGUAAAGUUACUGUAAAUUGUUAGCACAAGAACAUUGUCUUAUAUGAUGCUACUUUUUAUGAUAGUAUAUGGCACAAGAGAAAAGACAUUUGUAAAGAGAGUGAAACAGUAAAGUAUGUUUUAAAGGACCUUUUGUAAGGGUGAAACAGUGAAACAGUAAAGUAUGUUUUAAAGGACCUUUUGUAAGGGUGAAACAGUAAAGAAUGUUUUAAAGGACCUUCUGUAAGGGUGAAACAGUGAAACAGUAAAGUAUGUUUUAA
RNAcentral lists this long non-coding RNA (551 nucleotides) under Salmo salar (Atlantic salmon). RNAcentral describes it as "lncRNA (ENSSSAG00000096086.1)". Lineage: Eukaryota; Metazoa; Chordata; Actinopteri; Salmoniformes; Salmonidae. The record is from RNAcentral.